AGCAGUCGCCGCGGGAAUACGUAGGGUGCGAGCGUUAAUCGGAAUUACUGGGCGUAAAGCGUGCGCAGGCGGUUAUAUAAGACAGAUGUGAAAUCCCCGGGCUCAACCUGGGACCUGCAUUUGUGACUGUAUAGCUAGAGUACGGUAGAGGGGGAUGGAAUUCCGCGUGUAGCAGUGAAAUGCGUAGAUAUGCGGAGGAACACCGAUGGCGAAGGCAAUCCCCUGGACCUGUACUGACGCUCAUGCACGAAAGCGUGGGGAGCAAACAGGAUUAGAUACCCGAGUAGUCCCUGUCUCUUAUAC
Molecule: ribosomal RNA, 303 nt
Filed under: uncultured bacterium
Lineage: Bacteria
Description: partial 16S ribosomal RNA
Rfam family: Bacterial small subunit ribosomal RNA
Source: RNAcentral